Long non-coding RNA from Eptesicus fuscus (big brown bat), 957 nucleotides. RefSeq lists it as uncharacterized. The record is from RefSeq and is a predicted model, not a curated record. The transcript has 3 exons. NCBI's taxonomy places the organism in Eukaryota, Metazoa, Chordata, Mammalia, Chiroptera, Vespertilionidae.
GGCAUCCCGACCGCGGGGACUGCGGCCCUAAGCUAAAACUAUUUACUCUUCUGGGUUUCCGAGCCGUGUGCGCUGCCAACGCCCGAGCGACCCCGGAGGCCGUGGCGACAGUGCGGCCUGACACCGUUCCUCGCUGCGGGACAAAAGCAGGAAGUAACAGUUCCGGUCACCCGGAGUCCCCUUGCCGUCCCCCGACGGGCCUGGUGGGAUAUCACUGGGUUGGGAGUCGCUGUGGCUCGACCGCUUGCUCAGCCUUAGAGAGGACAGAGCCGGGCGUGCCUCGGGCUCCGUGUGUGCUAUAAUUCUCGCUUGCCAGGAACAGCAGGCUCAGGGCAGGGACACACUGACCCAGCGUGGAAUGCCUCGGCCUUCCUCUGAUCCUGGGAAAGGACUUGCCAUGGGAGAAUGCAGCCUCUUGCCAUUUUCUUCUAGCACAGAAGAAAAUGCCCAUUCCCACCAAAGGGGCUGCUGUGGGUUCAUCUAAGCCCAUCUCGGAGAGUGAGGAAAGGAGAAGGGUAGAGAGAUAGAAACAUCAAUGAGAGAGAAACAUCAUCCUGCACACACCCCUACUAAGGAUCAAGCCCACAACUGGGGCAUGUGCCCUGACUGAGAAUCGAACCAGCGACCUCUUGGUUUCUGAGUCAACGCUCAUCGGCUGAGCCACAGCAGAAAGAGGAAGGGAGAGGAAGAGGACAGAAACACUGAUGAUAAAGAAUCAUCGAUUGGCUGCCGCCUGCACAUCACUACCAGGGAUUGAGCCCACACCCAGGCAUAUUCCCUGACCAGGAAUUGAAUCAGCAACCUGUUGGUACAUGGGACGGUGCUCAACCCACUGAGCCAGGCAGGUUGAUAUAUUCUUUAGAGCAAAUGCUCAUGGACUUUACAGAGUAACUUUGCCGAACUUCAUGACAAAGAAAAACAAGAAUAAAUAUGAAACCCCAAAUUUAUCAUAAUAAA